AUUGAACGCUGGCGGCAGGCCUAACACAUGCAAGUCGAACGGUAACAGGAAACAGCUUGCUGUUUCGCUGACGAGUGGCGGACGGGUGAGUAAUGUCUGGGAAACUGCCUGAUGGAGGGGGAUAACUACUGGAAACGGUAGCUAAUACCGCAUAACGUCGCAAGACCAAAGAGGGGGACCCUCGGGCCUCCUGCCAUCGGAUGUGCCCAGAUGGGAUUAGCUUGUUGGUGGGGUAACGGCUCACCAAGGCGACGAUCCCUAGCUGGUCUGAGAGGAUGACCAGCCACACUGGAACUGAGACACGGUCCAGACUCCUACGGGAGGCAGCAGUGGGGAAUAUUGCACAAUGGGCGCAAGCCUGAUGCAGCCAUGCCGCGUGUAUGAAGAAGGCCUUCGGGUUGUAAAGUACUUUCAGCGGGGAGGAAGGGAGUAAAGUUAAUACCUUUGCUCAUUGACGUUACCCGCAGAAGAAGCACCGGCUAACUCCGUG
Molecule: ribosomal RNA, 490 nt
Filed under: uncultured bacterium
Lineage: Bacteria
Description: partial 16S ribosomal RNA
Rfam family: Bacterial small subunit ribosomal RNA
Source: RNAcentral